UAUUCAACUACAAGAACUU
RNAcentral lists this transfer RNA (19 nucleotides) under Fundulus zebrinus (plains killifish). RNAcentral's name for it is "partial tRNA-Glu". Lineage: Eukaryota; Metazoa; Chordata; Actinopteri; Cyprinodontiformes; Fundulidae. The record is from RNAcentral.